This is a long non-coding RNA of Thalassophryne amazonica, 105 nucleotides long. RefSeq lists it as uncharacterized. The transcript has 3 exons. Lineage: Eukaryota; Metazoa; Chordata; Actinopteri; Batrachoidiformes; Batrachoididae. The record is from RefSeq and is a predicted model, not a curated record.
UGCAGCAGAUAGAUGCUCAUUUUUUAUCCCCCAUUGGCUGAACGCCCAAAGGGGGAUUAUGUCGUGGUUAUCUCUGUCUGUUUGUCUGUCUACUCUCUGUCAACU